This 83-nucleotide non-coding RNA is filed under the name Glaesserella parasuis SH0165. RNAcentral's name for it is "Haemophilus parasuis SH0165 sRNA-Xcc1". It matches the Rfam family "sRNA-Xcc1". Lineage: Bacteria; Pseudomonadati; Pseudomonadota; Gammaproteobacteria; Pasteurellales; Pasteurellaceae. The record is from Rfam by way of RNAcentral.
GGUCGGCGGUGCGAGGAAUAUAACACCGCAAGGGAAUAACUCCGCUGUUUAUGGUACAGUUUUGAGCCGCCGACCACCCUACU